Molecule: transfer RNA, 63 nt
Filed under: Chilocorus rubidus
Lineage: Eukaryota; Metazoa; Arthropoda; Insecta; Coleoptera; Coccinellidae
Description: tRNA-Gly
Source: RNAcentral
ACUUAAAUAGUAUAAAUAUUAUUUUUGACUUCCAAUCAAAAGAUCUAAAUUCUAGUUUAAGUA